RNAcentral lists this ribosomal RNA (1461 nucleotides) under Bacillus subtilis. Its description in RNAcentral is "bacterial SSU rRNA". It matches the Rfam family "Bacterial small subunit ribosomal RNA". The record is from RNAcentral. Lineage: Bacteria; Bacillati; Bacillota; Bacilli; Caryophanales; Bacillaceae.
GACGAACGCUGGCGGCGUGCCUAAUACAUGCAAGUCGAGCGGACAGAUGGGAGCUUGCUCCCUGAUGUUAGCGGCGGACGGGUGAGUAACACGUGGGUAACCUGCCUGUAAGACUGGGAUAACUCCGGGAAACCGGGGCUAAUACCGGAUGGUUGUUUGAACCGCAUGGUUCAAACAUAAAAGGUGGCUUCGGCUACCACUUACAGAUGGACCCGCGGCGCAUUAGCUAGUUGGUGAGGUAACGGCUCACCAAGGCAACGAUGCGUAGCCGACCUGAGAGGGUGAUCGGCCACACUGGGACUGAGACACGGCCCAGACUCCUACGGGAGGCAGCAGUAGGGAAUCUUCCGCAAUGGACGAAAGUCUGACGGAGCAACGCCGCGUGAGUGAUGAAGGUUUUCGGAUCGUAAAGCUCUGUUGUUAGGGAAGAACAAGUACCGUUCGAAUAGGGCGGUACCUUGACGGUACCUAACCAGAAAGCCACGGCUAACUACGUGCCAGCAGCCGCGGUAAUACGUAGGUGGCAAGCGUUGUCCGGAAUUAUUGGGCGUAAAGGGCUCGCAGGCGGUUUCUUAAGUCUGAUGUGAAAGCCCCCGGCUCAACCGGGGAGGGUCAUUGGAAACUGGGGAACUUGAGUGCAGAAGAGGAGAGUGGAAUUCCACGUGUAGCGGUGAAAUGCGUAGAGAUGUGGAGGAACACCAGUGGCGAAGGCGACUCUCUGGUCUGUAACUGACGCUGAGGAGCGAAAGCGUGGGGAGCGAACAGGAUUAGAUACCCUGGUAGUCCACGCCGUAAACGAUGAGUGCUAAGUGUUAGGGGGUUUCCGCCCCUUAGUGCUGCAGCUAACGCAUUAAGCACUCCGCCUGGGGAGUACGGUCGCAAGACUGAAACUCAAAGGAAUUGACGGGGGCCCGCACAAGCGGUGGAGCAUGUGGUCUAAUUCGAAGCAACGCGAAGAACCUUACCAGGUCUUGACAUCCUCUGACAAUCCUAGAGAUAGGACGUCCCCUUCGGGGGCAGAGUGACAGGUGGUGCAUGGUUGUCGUCAGCCCGUGUCGUGAGAUGUUGGGUUAAGUCCCGCAACGAGCGCAACCCUUGAUCUUAGUUGCCAGCAUUUAGUUGGGCACUCUAAGGUGACUGCCGGUGACAAACCGGAGGAAGGUGGGGAUGACGUCAAAUCAUCAUGCCCCUUAUGACCUGGGCUACACACGUGCUACAAUGGACAGAACAAAGGGCAGCGAAACCGCGAGGUUAAGCCAAUCCCACAAAUCUGUUCUCAGUUCGGAUCGCAGUCUGCAACUCGACUGCGUGAAGCUGGAAUCGCUAGUAAUCGCGGAUCAGCAUGCCGCGGUGAAUACGUUCCCGGGCCUUGUACACACCGCCCGUCACACCACGAGAGUUUGUAACACCCGAAGUCGGUGAGGUAACCUUUUAGGAGCCAGCCGCCGAAGGUGGGACAGA